RNAcentral lists this ribosomal RNA (478 nucleotides) under uncultured bacterium. Its description in RNAcentral is "partial 16S ribosomal RNA". It matches the Rfam family "Bacterial small subunit ribosomal RNA", at positions 28 to 523 of the family's 1533-position model. The record is from RNAcentral.
GACGAACGCUGGCAGCGUGCUUAACACAUGCAAGUCGAACGGUAAGGCCCUUCGGGGUACACGAGUGGCGAACGGGUGAGUAACACGUGGGUGAUCUGCCCUGCACUUCGGGAUAAGCCUGGGAAACUGGGUCUAAUACCGGAUAGGACCCUGGGAUGCAUGUCCUGGGGUGGAAAGCUUUUGCGGUGUGGGAUGGGCCCGCGGCCUAUCAGCUUGUUGGUGGGGUGAUGGCCUACCAACGCGACGACGGGUAGCCGGCCUGAGAGGGUGACCGGCCACACUGGGACUGGGAUACGGCCCCGACUCCUACGGGAGGCAGCAGUGGGGAAUAUUGCACAAUGGGCGCAAGCCUGAUGCAGCGACGCCGCGUGAGGGAUGACGGCCUUCGGGUUGUAAACCUCUUUCAGCACCGACGAAGCGCAAGUGACGGUAGGUGCAGAAGAAGGACCGGCCAACUACGUGCCAGCCGCCGCGGUAA